Molecule: long non-coding RNA, 493 nt
Filed under: Linum usitatissimum (flax)
Lineage: Eukaryota; Viridiplantae; Streptophyta; Magnoliopsida; Malpighiales; Linaceae
Description: long non-coding RNA (LUSI_LNC006763)
Source: RNAcentral
UUGGCUUUGGAGAGAUGGGAAGGUGGCAUCGUGGUUGUGUGCUGCCAUGAUCCCAGAAUGUAGGACAGUAUGCAGAGGCCAGUAACGCAUAGAAUCCAAGUUAAGCGCUUUCUCUUUGAUUCUAGCUGGUGUGCCUUUGGCGAUCCCACCAUUUUUGAACCUUCUGUGUUUUUUUUUGCAGGCUUUUUUUUCUCUUCAGCAAUUCACCAGUCACUUGCUAGGCUCUGCUGAGAAACAGAAGAAAGUGUAAUCAGAAUCAAAUGAAUCUAUGCGAUUCAGGGGAAAUAAUUUCUAUGGCGAGGAAUCCCUUCCAGGGGCGUCACUUAAUUAUUUUGUGACGUUGUAGUUAGGUAAAUUCGAGAGCUGUCGACCUUUAACCCGUGUAUUUAUUUUAUUUUAGCAGACCGGAGUGAUAGUUGAUGAAUAAGGACGAAUGAACACGAGAAAACUAUGUGAUUUCUUAUCAGAGUGAUCGACUAAUUCACGAAGAAAG